CCUAUAUGGAGAGUUUGAUCCUGGCUCAGGACGAACGCUGGCGGCGUGCCUAAUACAUGCAAGUCGAGCGGAUCUCUGAUGGAGCUUGCUCCUGAUGAGAUUAGCGGCGGACGGGUGAGUAACACGUAGGCAACCUGCCCUGAAGACCGGGAUAACAUUCGGAAACGAAUGCUAAGACCGGAUAGGCAACGAGGUCGCAUGAUCUUGUUGAGAAACACGGUGCAAGCUGUGGCUUUGGGA
Molecule: ribosomal RNA, 240 nt
Filed under: Cohnella sp. OV330
Lineage: Bacteria; Bacillati; Bacillota; Bacilli; Caryophanales; Paenibacillaceae
Description: 16S rRNA. Bacterial SSU
Rfam family: Bacterial small subunit ribosomal RNA
Source: RNAcentral